CCUACGGGAGGCUGCAGUGGGGAAUAUUGGACAAUGGGCGAAAGCCUGAUCCAGCCAUGCCGCGUGUGUGAAGAAGGCCUUCGGGUUGUAAAGCACUUUCAGUGGGGAAGAAAGCCUUGGGGCUAAUACCCUCGAGGAAGGACAUCACCCACAGAAGAAGCACCGGCUAACUCCGUGCCAGCAGCCGCGGUAAUACGGAGGGUGCGAGCGUUAAUCGGAAUUACUGGGCGUAAAGCGCGCGUAGGCGGUCUGAUAAGCCGGUUGUGAAAGCCCCGGGCUCAACCUGGGAACGGCAUCCGGAACUGUCAGGCUAGAGUGCAGAAGAGGAAAGUAGAAUUCCCGGUGUAGCGGUGAAAUGCGUAGAGAUCGGGAGGAAUACCAGUGGCGAAGGCGGCCUUCUGGACUGACACUGACGCUGAGGUGCGAAAGCAUGGGUAGCAAACAGGAUUAGAUACCCCUGUAGUC
RNAcentral lists this ribosomal RNA (465 nucleotides) under Vreelandella stevensii. RNAcentral describes it as "partial 16S ribosomal RNA". It matches the Rfam family "Bacterial small subunit ribosomal RNA", at positions 338 to 795 of the family's 1533-position model. Lineage: Bacteria; Pseudomonadati; Pseudomonadota; Gammaproteobacteria; Oceanospirillales; Halomonadaceae. The record is from RNAcentral.